Molecule: ribosomal RNA, 486 nt
Filed under: uncultured bacterium
Lineage: Bacteria
Description: bacterial SSU rRNA
Rfam family: Bacterial small subunit ribosomal RNA
Source: RNAcentral
AACGAACGCUGGCGGCGUGCCUAACACAUGCAAGUCGAACGAGAAAGUGGGCUUCGGCCCGCGAGUAAAGUGGCAGACGGGUGAGUAACACGUGGGUAACCUGCCCGGAGGUGGGGAAUAACCCUCCGAAAGGAGAGCUAAUACCGCAUAACAUCUUUGGGGCCUUGGCCUCGGAGAUCAAAGCUAGCCUCUGCCUGCAAGCUAGCGCCACCGGAGGGACCCGCGGCCCAUUAGCAGUUGGUGAGGUAACGGCUCACCAAGGCGACGAUGGGUAGCCGGCCUGAGAGGGUGAUCGGCCACACUGGAACUGGGACACGGUCCAGACUCCUACGGGAGGCAGCAGUGAGGAAUCUUGCGCAAUGGGCGAAAGCCUGACGCAGCGACGCCGCGUGGAGGACGAAGGUCUUCGGAUCGUAAACUCCUGUCAAGUGGGACGAAUGCCGUUGAGUUAAUAGCCUCGACGGUUGACGGUACCGCUGGAGGAAG